RNAcentral lists this ribosomal RNA (468 nucleotides) under uncultured bacterium. RNAcentral describes it as "partial 16S ribosomal RNA". It matches the Rfam family "Bacterial small subunit ribosomal RNA", at positions 28 to 507 of the family's 1533-position model. The record is from RNAcentral.
GACGAACGCUGGCGGCGUGCUUAACACAUGCAAGUCGAACGGAAAGGCCCUGCUUUUGUGGGGUGCUCGAGUGGCGAACGGGUGAGUAACACGUGAGUAACCUGCCCUUGACUUUGGGAUAACUUCAGGCAACUGGGGCUAAUACCGGAUAGGAGCUCCUGCUGCAUGGUGGGGGUUGGAAAGUUUCGGCGGUUGGGGAUGGACUCGCGGCUUAUCAGCUUGUUGGUGGGGUAGUGGCUUACCAAGGCUUUGACGGGUAGCCGGCCUGAGAGGGUGACCGGCCACAUUGGGACUGAGAUGCGGCCCAGACUCCUACGGGAGGCAGCAGUGGGGAAUAUUGCACAAUGGGCGGAAGCCUGAUGCAGCAACGCCGCGUGCGGGAUGACGGCCUUCGGGUUGUAUACCGCUUUCGCCUUUGACGAAGCGUGAGUGACGGUAAUGGGUAAAGAAGCACCGGCUAACUACGUG